GAGUUUGAUCCUGGCUCAGAACGAACGCUGGUAGCGUGGAUUAGGCAUGCAAGUCGAACGGGAUCCGUGAAGAAGCAAUACUGAGCGGUGAGAGUGGCGGAUUGGGGAGGAACACGUGAGCAACCUGCCUUUGAGUUGGGGAAAACCAUUGGAAACGAUGGCUAAUACCGAAUGUGGCGCCUGGUGACAUCACCGGAGCGCUAAAGGGGGCCGCAAGGCUCUCGCUCUUAGAGGGGCUCGCGCACCAUCAGCUAGUUGGCGGGGUAACGGCCCACCAAGGCUUACGGUUAGCUGGUCUGAGAGGAUGACCAGCCCCACUGGGACUGAGAUACUGCCCAGACUCCUACGGGAGGCUGCAGUCGAGGAUCAUUUGCAAUGGGCGAAAGCCUGACAAUGCGACGCUGCGUGGAGGAUGAAGGCCUUCGGGUUGUAAACUCCUGUCAUAAGGGAACAGGCGAUUCGACCUAAUACGUCGGAAAGUUGAGUGUACUUUAAGAGGAAGGGACGGCUAACUCUGUGCCAGCAGCCGCGGUAAUACAGAGGUCCCUAGCGUUGUUCGGAUUUACUGGGCGUAAAGGGCACGUAGGUGGCUAGGCGUGUCAGAUGUGAAAUCUCCGGGCUCAACCCGGAAAGUGCGUCUGAAACUACCUGGCUCGAGUCCGGGAGAGGGAAUCGGAAUAUAGGGUGUAGCGGUGAAAUGCGUAAA
RNAcentral lists this ribosomal RNA (706 nucleotides) under uncultured bacterium. RNAcentral's name for it is "bacterial SSU rRNA". It matches the Rfam family "Bacterial small subunit ribosomal RNA", at positions 9 to 694 of the family's 1533-position model. The record is from RNAcentral.